Small nuclear RNA from Rana temporaria (common frog), 109 nucleotides. The record is from RefSeq and is a predicted model, not a curated record. Lineage: Eukaryota; Metazoa; Chordata; Amphibia; Anura; Ranidae.
UAUAUGUGAUGAAGCAUAUAAAGCACUAAAAUUGGAAUGAUACAGACAAGAUUAGCAUGGCCCCUGUUCAUGGAUUGCAUGCAAAUUCACGAUGCCUCUCUCUACUUUU